UACGUAGGGUGCGAGCGUUGUCCGGAAUUAUUGGGCGUAAAGAGCUCGUAGGCGGUCUGUCGCGUCGGUCGUGAAAACUUGGGGCUUAACCCUGAGCUUGCGGUCGAUACGGGCAUGACUGGAGUUCGGCAGGGGAGACUGGAAUUCCUGGUGUAGCGGUGAAAUGCGCAGAUAUCAGAAGGAACAUCAGUGGCGAAAGCGACUUCCUGGACCAGAACUGACGAUCAGGCACGAAAGCGUGGGGAGCAAACAGG
This 254-nucleotide ribosomal RNA is filed under the name uncultured bacterium. RNAcentral describes it as "partial 16S ribosomal RNA". It matches the Rfam family "Bacterial small subunit ribosomal RNA", at positions 524 to 776 of the family's 1533-position model. The record is from RNAcentral.